UGGGGAAUUUUGGACAAUGGGCGAAAGCCUGAUCCAGCAAUGCCGCGUGUGUGAAGAAGGCCUUCGGGUUGUAAAGCACUUUUGUCCGGAAAGAAAUCCUUGGCUCUAAUACAGUCGGGGGAUGACGGUACCGGAAGAAUAAGCACCGGCUAACUACGUGCCAGCAGCCGCGGUAAUACGUAGGGUGCAAGCGUUAAUCGGAAUUACUGGGCGUAAAGCGUGCGCAGGCGGUUUGCUAAGACCGAUGUGAAAUCCCCGGGCUCAACCUGGGAACUGCAUUGGUGACUGGCAGGCUAGAGUAUGGCAGAGGGGGGUAGAAUUCCACGUGUAGCAGUGAAAUGCGUAGAGAUGUGGAGGAAUACCGAUGGCGAAGGCAGCCCCCUGGGCCAAUACUGACGCUCAUGCACGAAAGCGUGGGGAGCAAACAGGAUUAGAUACCCUGGUAGUCCACGCCCUAAACGAUGUCAACUAGUUGUUGGGGAUUCAUUUCCUUAGUACGUA
RNAcentral lists this ribosomal RNA (501 nucleotides) under uncultured bacterium. RNAcentral's name for it is "partial 16S ribosomal RNA". It matches the Rfam family "Bacterial small subunit ribosomal RNA", at positions 355 to 850 of the family's 1533-position model. The record is from RNAcentral.